AUGGAGCAUCUUCCUGUCUGGGAGCACAACUGUUUGUUUCUUUGUUGUUUUUCUUUUUCAAUCCUGCUGACUGCAGGGGCAGCCACAGCUGCUCUGGGCAGGCUGUGCCAAGGUGUCCCUGCCCUCCCAGCCAGGAAUUCCCAAUUCCCAAUAUCCAUCCCUGCCUCUGGCAGUGGGAGCCAUUCCCUGUGUCCUGUCCCUCCAGGUCUUUAUCCAAAUCCCCUCUCCAGAAAUCCUCCCCACACCCAGGAGAGCAGACACAAAAUGUCCCUGUGCUUCCAGCAGGUAUCCAGCACUAAUAAUCAUCUUCCAAGAGGUAAAGUUGUGACCAAAAUAAAUCCAAGAGGUCAAGUUGUGACCAAAAUAAAUCCUGUGUUUUCCCUGGAAUGGGGACUGGGACCAGUAGGGCUGUGGGAACACAACCAUGGGGGGAUGCACCUAGAAACAAAAUUUACAGUAACUGAGUUGUGUAGGAGGCACAAGGAGGAGCAGCAGAGCUCUUGCCCAAUGGUGGCAGGGGGGGGGGGCUGCUGGUUCGGGUCCUGGUCUGGUUUGGAUCCUGGUCCUGGUUUGGAUCCUGGAACUUAUUUGGAUCCUGGUCCUGGUUUGGAUCCUAGUCAGGAAUUCCCAAUAUCCCAAUACCCAUCCCUGCCCUCUGGCAGUGGGAGCCAUUCCCUGUGUCCUGUCCCUCCAUCCCUUGUCCCCAGCCCCUCUCCAGCUCUCCUGGAGCCCCUUUAGGUCCUGGAAAGGGCUCUGGGCUCCUCCUGGAUCCUCCCCAUCUCCAGGGGGACAUUCCCAGCUCCCCAGCCUGGCUCCAGCCCUGGCGCAGCUCCAGGUCCCUCUGAGCCUGGCUCCAGCCCUGGAGCAGCUCCAGGUCCCUCUGAUGUCAGAGCCCAGGGCUGGGGCAGCUCUGCAGGUGGGGUCUCACCUGGGCAGGUACAGAGGGGCAGAACUGCCCCUUUCCUGCAGAUGCCAGACCCCAGGGGCACCUGGAGCCCCUGACCCAGUGCCAGCCCCACGCACUGCCCGGGUUUGGGGUGAAACCCUGGGGUUUAACCCCAGCACAGGGGCUGAGAUUGGGAGCUCUGGGAUCGGUUCAUCUCCUGCACGAUGAGUCCAGCACAGGCACAAGGGAUGGAGAACAAGGACAAGGAACCUGCCACAAACACUGCAGUUAGAGCAGGGAGCUGCUCCCUGCAUCCCCAAACCUCUGGAACAGUCACAGGCACUGAUGGGCUUGGUUUGGACUCCCAGAUUCAUGCAGAGCCAGGCAGGAUGAUGGUCCCUGGAUGCCUCCCAGGGCAGCUCAGUGCUCAGUUAAAAAGGGGCAGCUUUGUCUCCACUGGGAUCAGGCAGGGCUGCAAUCCCUCAGGGAUGGAGCCCCCUCACCCCUUCCUGCUCCCCAAAUCCCACAGAACCAGCACUGGAGCCUGGGGGAAAUAGAAAAGGUCCAGAACUCUCAGAGAGCAAAUCUCAGAUGGAGAAAUGCAGGAAUGCUGAAAUGCAAGGACAAGAAACAACAGGGCUGGGAGCUGGGUAGAGACAGGCUCAGGAAAAUAUGUUCAGCAAAACAGAAAUAUGUAAGGUUAAUAAUGAAGCUUUAUCCAUUGUUUUAAGCUAUUGCAAGCAAGGUUGUUCAAAUCAAGAUGUAACUGCAGUUUUAUUAACUGGCCUGAGCAAACCCUGGUCAGCUUUUAAUAUUCUGCUAUUAGCUUGAAAGUUGUUAAAGAGUUUGUGACAAAGAGAACUCGGUCUGCUGUGCCAGCAGCUGGAGCUGCUCCACCUCCCCUGCUUGGUUCUGUAAAAUGAGGCUGAUGGUUGUGAUAUAAAAUACAGUAAAAUAUUAUAUAUAUAAAUAUAAUAAAAAUUAUAUUUAUAUAAUAAAAGCUUCGAGACAUCUGCUCCAGCAUUCCUGUCCUUUUUGUGUAGAUAGAUACUUGUAAAUAUAAAAUAAGAGGAAAAAUAUCCCAGGAAAAACCCAGCAGGAGCUCAGGGAAAGGGGGCAGGAGGAGCCCCCAGCCCCUCCCCAGCCCCAGCACAGCUUUGCCCUCGAUGAAUUCCCAAUUCCUGCUGACAUUUUGGAUGACUCUCCUGGAAUGUCCCAGCGUUUUACCCACGCCAGGCCUCUCCCCCUCGCCAGGCCUCUCCCCCUUCUCCUGCCAGCCGCUUUUAUCAUCACUUAGCUCACGGCAGCCUCGGUUGUGUAACACACAGGGAGCUAAAGCAGCACUUUCCUCUUAAACCUCACCUCAAAAUCACCCCAAAAACCAGCACUGGGCUCAAAGCAAGGCCUGAACCACGACUGGUUCAUGUCACCCCUCAGCUGGGAGGGGAUGGGAUGGGAUGGGAUGGGAUGGGAUGGGAUGGGAUGGGAUGGGAUGGGAUGGGAUGGGAUGGGAUGGGAUGGGAUGGGAUG
This 2416-nucleotide long non-coding RNA is filed under the name Ficedula albicollis (Collared flycatcher). RNAcentral describes it as "lncRNA (ENSFALG00000026469.1)". The record is from RNAcentral. Lineage: Eukaryota; Metazoa; Chordata; Aves; Passeriformes; Muscicapidae.